RNAcentral lists this ribosomal RNA (414 nucleotides) under uncultured microorganism. RNAcentral's name for it is "bacterial SSU rRNA". It matches the Rfam family "Archaeal small subunit ribosomal RNA", at positions 330 to 746 of the family's 1478-position model. The record is from RNAcentral.
GUGCAGCAGUCGCGAAACUUCACACUGUGCGAAAGCACGAUGAGGGAAUCCCAAGUGCUUGCACGUAAGUGUAAGCUGUUUCUCUGUUUAAAACGCAGAGAGAGUAAGGGCUGGGUAAGACGGGUGCCAGCCGCCGCGGUAAUACCUGCAGCUCAAGUGGUGACCGUUAUUAUUGGGCCUAAAACGUCCGUAGCCGGUUUAAUAAAUGCCUGGGUAAAUCGUGUAGCUUAACUAUACGAAUUCCGGGUAGACUGUUAAACUCGAGACCGGGAGAAGUUAGAGGUACUCCUGGGGUAGAGGUGAAAUUCUGUAAUCCUAGGGGGACCACCAGUGGCGAAGGCGUCUAACUAGAACGGGUCUGACGGUGAGGGACGAAGCCCUGGGGCGCAAACGGGAUUAGAUACCCCCGUAGUU